Musa acuminata AAA Group (dessert banana) is the source of this 1799-nucleotide long non-coding RNA. RefSeq lists it as uncharacterized. The record is from RefSeq and is a predicted model, not a curated record. NCBI's taxonomy places the organism in Eukaryota, Viridiplantae, Streptophyta, Magnoliopsida, Zingiberales, Musaceae. The transcript is spliced from 2 exons.
CUCCGCCGAAAACCCUAAUUCCUCGCUUGACGAAUCGAAAACCCUAACUCCCCAAUGUCUUCUCUUUGUUUCCCCCUCCCUGUCUCGAGUUCUUUUUCCUGUAAGCAGCCGCUCCGAUCCGAGAUUUCCUCUCGGGUUUUCUUCCAAGUGCGUGGCAGGUGGCCGGAGGCGAGGUGGCACGCGUUGCUUGCACAUCCGAGGAAAUCUUACGUGACUUCGGAAACCGCUUUACCGGCAUGAUCACGGUCCGCUGCCGCUCACGUUCGGUUCUUGUAGUUCCCAUUGUUUUGUGUUGAUAUCGGUUUGCUUACCUUGAUCUUGUUGGUUUCUGAUAUGCUUUGUUCUUUCCUUAUAACGUGUUGGUGGUGUUGCAAUGUCGGGAAGUUCUACCGACGAUGUGAUCCAGGUGACUUGCCUCUUUCUUGGGUACGCUUCGUGGGGUGAUAGGGUGAUGAUGUUUCAGUUGAUUGGUUACAGGAUUUCUGCCGCUGUUGAUGCUGCGCUGACAAUUAUCCUCUUUGUGAAAUGAGUAAAUUUUUGGAGGUUGUUUACGUUUUUGGGGAUUAAUCUGAUGUUUUUGUAUUGGUUUCGUUUAUUUAAUGAAAUCUCCGGAAAAUUUUGAUGACAAUUUCUUUCUACUGAAUAUAAACACUUGGGAUUAUUUAAUACUGAAGAUUUUAGUGAGAAAGAACAUUACAAUCUAUGAUUCAAACUUUUUUGGUUAGAAAACACAUGCUAGGAGUUUGCAUGUUCUGUUUUGAUUUGCUUGGUAUCCAUAAACUAUUAUAAUCUCUUGCCGUUAAUCUCUCUUUUAUGUUCUUUUUCCAUUGCCAAAGAAGCUCAGAAUUAUGUUAUGAGGGUUAACAUGAGUAAAAAUGUGAUCUUUGGUUUAAUACCACUUGACAUAUUCAAUUCAAGAAACUUUAUAGCAUUCUUUAAGUUUUCAAAUGCAUCCCUGUUUCGAAUCAUCAGGCAUCCAAAUGCCUGAUGGUACUGCUGUUAGAGAAGAAUCAUCAGGCUUCCAGAUCCCUAGCAUUCAAAAUGUUCUACCUUUCUCCAAGUUUGAUCAUGCAUUUAUUGGAUUGUUUUAGGCAAAGAUUGUGACGGUAAUUGGCUGAAGUUCUGUUCACUUGAAGAAUCAUCAGGUAUACUCUUAUUUGGAUGUUAGAAGAAAAUGUUAAAGUUCAACAUCUAACACCAAUAAAUCUUUCAAAUACUGAAAUCUGAAUGGACUUCUGCAAUCGCAUAAAAAUCAAGGCAAAAAGAAAGCAGUAAUGUCCUGAAGUCUGCAAUGUUACACUCGAGAUCAAGAAUCACAAGGCUCACACGAGGCACGAUAGAAGGAGAUGAUUGGGAGAGGCAUACCAUUCUAUAUAUGAGGUGGCUGGAGACCUGAUGGAGUGAUGAGUCUAAGGAGAUGAGUGUACACCAAAUAGGAAUACUGAAAGUAAGCAGGGGGGAGGAUCCUUUCAUCCAUGACCUUUUGGCUAGCUUUCUUCCAGUUGAAUUGAUUGAUUGGGACCACGAAAGGAAUGGGAAAAGAGGGGCAAAGCUUCUGAUGAUAUCAGAUAAGCAGGGAUCUUCUCGUCUUCCUGGGGUGAGUCAAGCUCACUUGUCAUGUUGUUCCUCCUUUUGCUGGUCCUCUUACUCAAGACAAUGUAUAAGCAAAAAAACCUAAGAUUCAGGCGGGAUGCUGUUUUGAUCAGUCGUUCAAUGUGUAAGCAAAAAACCUAAGAUUCAUGCGGAUUCUGUUUUGAUCAGCCCUUCAAUUGAAUAGUGAAGGGUGGGGUAGUUUUGUA